GACGAACGCUGGCGGCGGGCUUAACACAUGCAAGUCGAACGGAAAGGCCCUGCUUGCGUGGGGUGCUCGAGUGGCGAACGGGUGAGUAACACGUGAGUAACCUGCCCUUGACUUUGGGAUAACUUCAGGAAACUGGGGCUAAUACCGUAUAGGAGCUCCUGCUGCAUGGUGGGGGUUGGAAAGUUUCGGCGGUUGGGGAUGGACUCGCGGCUUAUCAGCUUGUUGGUGGGGUAGUGGCUUACCAAGGGUUUGACGGGUAGCCGGCCUGAGAGGGUGACCGGCGAAAUUGGGACUGAGAUACGGCACAGAGUCGUAAGGGAGGCAGCAGUGGGGAAUAUUGCACAAUGGGCGGAAGCCUGAUGCAGCAACGCGGCGUGCGGGAUGGCGGCCUUCGGGUAGAAAACCGCUUUCGCCUGUGACGAAGCGUGAGUGACGGUAAUGGAUGAAGAAGCACCGGCUAACUACGUG
RNAcentral lists this ribosomal RNA (468 nucleotides) under uncultured bacterium. Its description in RNAcentral is "partial 16S ribosomal RNA". It matches the Rfam family "Bacterial small subunit ribosomal RNA", at positions 28 to 507 of the family's 1533-position model. The record is from RNAcentral.